RNAcentral lists this ribosomal RNA (468 nucleotides) under uncultured bacterium. Its description in RNAcentral is "partial 16S ribosomal RNA". It matches the Rfam family "Bacterial small subunit ribosomal RNA", at positions 28 to 507 of the family's 1533-position model. The record is from RNAcentral.
GACGAACGCUGGCGGCGUGCUUAACACAUGCAAGUCGAACGGAAAUGCCCUGCUUUUGUGGGGUGCUCGAGUGGCGAACGGGUGAGUAACACGUGAGUAACCUGCCCUUGACUUUGGGAUAACUUCAGGAAACUGGGGCUAAUACCGGAUAGGAGCUCCUGCUGCAUGGUGGGGGUUGGAAAGUUUCGGCGGUUGGGGAUGUACUCGCGGCUUAUCAGCUUGUUGGUGGGGUAGUGGCUUACCAAGGCUUUGACGGGUAGCCGGCCUGAGAGGGUGACCGGCCACAUUGGGACUGAGAUACGGCCCAGACUCCUACGGGAGGCAGCAGUGGGGAAUAUUGCACAAUGGGCGGAAGCCUGAUGCAGCAACGCCGCGUGCGGGAUGACGGCCUGCGGGUUGUAAACCGCUUUCGCCUGUGACGAAGCGUGAGUGACGGUAAUGGGUAAAGAAGCACCGGCUAACUACGUG